Meriones unguiculatus (Mongolian gerbil) is the source of this 2326-nucleotide long non-coding RNA. RefSeq lists it as uncharacterized. The transcript has 2 exons. The record is from RefSeq and is a predicted model, not a curated record. NCBI's taxonomy places the organism in Eukaryota, Metazoa, Chordata, Mammalia, Rodentia, Muridae.
CUCCUCCCCAUUCUCUCUAUGCAGCCCCUGUUUCAGCAAGAGAGCGGGACCCCCAGUGUCGCUGAGCGAGAGGACGCGUGCAGGGGAGCCACCCUGGGGUGCAGCCCGCUGCGGGUGGUACGGCUCGCCCGCGUGGGCCCCGCAGCGCCGCGGGCCGCCAUCUUGCCUUGAAAGGAGUAAACAAAGCUCUGCUGGGAGCUUGGCUCGGAUUUACCGGAGGAGGUGUGCCGGCUCCCAGCGCUGCGCGGCCCACAAGCCUUAACCUCUGUGCAAACUGAACACAACUGUUUGCUUAGUGGCUUUAUUGACUCAGUUUCCGCCUCCCAGGCAGGUGGCCUGGCGGCUACUCCGUCAUUGUUCCGCCUGGCUUUUCCCCAGCGCCACCACGGCCUCCCUGCCGAGACGGUCUUUCUUUAUUUCAGUCCGGGUCCUUGAAGAGUCAGGCUAUCAACUGACACAGCCAGUCACAGUGGAUGCUAACCUCGGUUUGAGACCUUGAUGUGGAAAUGCCUGCCUCUGAGUGCCUUCUACGUGGGUGGCUGAAGUCCAACACCUGAAGAGGUUUGAUGUCCUGUAUCCUGCCUGGUGUCAGAGUAUCCUCGACCCCCUUGAAGAUCUGUGACAAACCCAGUGGCCCUGGUCAGCAGGGGGCCACCACGGCCUGGUGAAAGGCCAGGGUUUGCACUUUAUUAACUCUCCCCAUAAUUAUUAUAGUGAUUCAUGUUCUUGUGAAAAACUGUGGGAAACCAAUUGGAGAAGGAUCCAUGCAAUGAACAAGAUUUUAUCUUUAUGCUCAGCUUCCAGUGACAGAACCUGAGGUGAAUACUAUAACCUCUGGCGAAGGUGUUUCCUUUUUACAGUUACUGGAGAAACUGUGAAGGUAUGUAAGAGCACUCAGGCCAGCAGCAUGCUGCUUCCUUCUGUUUCUCCGUCUGGUCCCUUCUGAGGCCAGUGUCCAGUCCUCCAGUCCUCGUGCCUUCCUGCACGUUCACCUGCUGAGGCCCCUAGGGACUCACUGUGUGGGCACUAAUCGGUGAUACUGUCUCUUCCUUUUGGCUGUGUGAUGGCCUCUGCUUUCAUUCCAUGAACCCCCCUCUCAGAAAGUCCCCAGGGCAAGCAAACUGCCCUUCCAUCCACCUCCCACCCCUGUCAGGUGGGCGCAGCAUCAGAAGGGCCCCUGCCCUAGAAUCCCAACUAUGUCCUUAUCAGAACACUCAUCUCAUCAAAGGCGGGACCAGAAAGAGACUGUUUACAGCCCCCUGAAGUUCCUCUUUAAGAGAUUGAAGUGGGGGUAACCAUGUGAUUCCUUUUACAAUUUGUUUUUUGUUUCGUUGACACCAAAGUUUACAAAAUAGUUGCUAUCUUUUCCUGAGGGAUUGCUGGACUGGUGGUAUUCACCGAAUGACAAUAUGGGAAAGUGGUAGGAGGGGUGACCUUUAUUUUUAUAUUGAUUUGGUCUUCAUGCUUCUCUGAAUUGAUUGACUUAAAAACAUGUACCUCCCCCCACUGGUGUUGGGGCUGUAAUUCAAAGAUCUGUGCAUGCUAGGAAAGUAUUUUACCACUGACUUACAUCCCAGGCCAAAACUAUAAAGCCAUUUUAAGAAGAAUGCUUUUAAAAGCACACUUGGAAGGGGGAUGCUGGAGAAAUGGCUCAGCAGUUAAGAUCACCGGCUGCUUCAGGGGAACCAAGUGCUGUUCCCAGCACCCACGUGGAACAUCACAACCACCUGCAACAAUCCAUCUCUGUGGGCAACCCCCAACACAUGCAUAAAGUGAAGAGAAAUUGUUAAGAUGCCCACACAGUCAUGCUGCUAUGCCUUAUCCAAAUGCUAUAAGGAAUAACAUGCUUCUUGUCUCCAUUUCUGUAAAUCUUCCUCAGCAGAACAAUGAUGCCCACAGACAGGGUCACUCUGAGCCGCUACAAGGUGUGUUUUGAAGAUCCUCUAAACAGGAUGGCAGCAUUCUCCAUCUCAGAAGACAUACUAAAAUAUAUUAUUUGCUCAUGAAGCUUUUGCACAAUAAUCCUCAUGAGCUUUGCGUUUUAGGUAAUGUUUAAGUUUCAGGCAGGAAAAGACUGUCCAGUGGUUGCAGAGUAUUAGUAGUAUCCCUGAAGUACCCCAACCCCCUAGACCCACCCUACCGCCACCCCAGCAUAGUCAUAAUCUUGUUAGUUACAUGUAGCCAGUCUUUUGCUUUUUUGUGGGUUCUUCUUCCCUGCCACCCACUCUUUAUCUCCCCCUGCUCCUGGAAGGUUUCACCCCUUAAGACUAGAUAGGAGAGAAACAGGGAGAGAGGGGAGAGAGGAAAUAAAAAAAAAAUCCCUAAA